RNAcentral lists this ribosomal RNA (478 nucleotides) under uncultured bacterium. RNAcentral describes it as "SSU rRNA". It matches the Rfam family "Bacterial small subunit ribosomal RNA", at positions 26 to 518 of the family's 1533-position model. The record is from RNAcentral.
AGAAUCAACGCUGGCGGCGUGCCUAACACAUGCAAGUCGAACGAGAAAGUGGAGCAAUCCAUGAGUAAAGUGGUGACCGGGUGAGUAACACGUGACUAACCUACCUUCAAGUGGGGGAUAACCUCGGGAAACCGGGGCUAAUACCGCAUAACAUCUUUGGAGUGGAAAUUCUGGAGAUCAAAGGAGCAAUUCGCUGGAAGAGGGGGUCGCGGCUGAUUAGCUAGUUGGCGGGGUAAUGGCCCACCAAGGCUUUGAUCGGUAGCCGGCCUGAGAGGGCGCGACGGCCGACGACUGGAACUGAAACACGGUCCAGACUCCUACGGGAGGCAGCAGUGGGGAAUUUUGCGCAAUGGGGGAAACCCUGACGCAGCAACGCCGCGUGGAGGAUGAAGUCCUUCGGGACGUAAACUCCUUUCGAUCGGGACGAUAAUGACGGUACCGAGAGAAGAAGCCCGGCUAACUUCGUGCCAGCAGCCGC